GCUUUGAUAGCUCAGUUGGGAGAGCGUCAGACUGAAGAUCUGAAGGUCCCUGGUUCGAUCCCGGGUCAAAAGCA
This 74-nucleotide transfer RNA is filed under the name Pythium insidiosum. RNAcentral describes it as "tRNA-Phe". It matches the Rfam family "tRNA". Rfam says of the family: Transfer RNA (tRNA) molecules are approximately 80 nucleotides in length. The record is from RNAcentral. Lineage: Eukaryota; Oomycota; Peronosporomycetes; Pythiales; Pythiaceae.